RNAcentral lists this microRNA precursor (100 nucleotides) under Ailuropoda melanoleuca (giant panda). RNAcentral describes it as "mir-199". The stretch from base 11 to 90 matches the Rfam family "mir-199 microRNA precursor family". From Rfam's summary of the family: This family consists of the microRNA (miRNA) precursor mir-199 which appears to be specific to humans. Animal miRNAs are transcribed as ~70nt precursors and subsequently processed by the Dicer enzyme to give a ~22nt product. In this case the mature sequence comes from the 3' arm of the precursor. Lineage: Eukaryota; Metazoa; Chordata; Mammalia; Carnivora; Ursidae. The record is from RNAcentral.
UGGAGAUCCUGCUCCGUCGCCCCAGUGUUCAGACUACCUGUUCAGGACAAUGCCGUUGUACAGUAGUCUGCACAUUGGUUAGACUGGGCAAGGGAGAACA